CCUACGGGGGGCUGCAGUGAGGGAUUUUCGGCAAUGGGCGAAAGCCUGACCGAGCGACGCCGCGUGAGCGAAGAAGGCCUUCGGGUCGUAAAGCUCUGUCUAGGGGGAAGAGAAAGGACGGUACCUCUGGAGGAAGCCACGGCUAACUACGUGCCAGCAGCCGCGGUAAUACGUAGGUGGCGAGCGUUGUCCGGAAUUACUGGGCGUAAAGGGCGCGCAGGCGGCGCGUUAAGUCCGGGGUGAAAUCCAUCGGCUCAACCGGUGGGGGACCUUGGAUACUGGCGCACUGGAGUGCGGGAGAGGGAAGCGGAAUUCCACGUGUAACGGUGAAAUGUAUAGAUAUGUGGAGGAACACCGGUGGCGAAGGCGGCUUCCUGGACCGUAACUGACGCUGAGGCGCGAAAGCUGGGGGAGCGAACAGGCUUAGAUACCCCAGUAGUC
Molecule: ribosomal RNA, 441 nt
Filed under: uncultured bacterium
Lineage: Bacteria
Description: bacterial SSU rRNA
Rfam family: Bacterial small subunit ribosomal RNA
Source: RNAcentral